AUCGCUUCUCAGCCUUUUGGCUAAGAUCAAGUGUAGUGAAGUAUAGUUGAUUUAUAAUAUUGUGUUAAUUUUUUCUGUACAACAAAGUGAUUCAAUUAUAUGUUUAUAUAUAUUCUUUUUCAUAUUCUUUUCCAUUAUAGCUUAUCAUAGGAUAUUGAAUAUAGUUCCC
Small nuclear RNA from Bos grunniens (domestic yak), 169 nucleotides. Its record names the gene U2. It matches the Rfam family "U2 spliceosomal RNA". Rfam says of the family: U2 is a small nuclear RNA (snRNA) component of the spliceosome (involved in pre-mRNA splicing). Complementary binding between U2 snRNA (in an area lying towards the 5' end but 3' to hairpin I) and the branchpoint sequence (BPS) of the intron results the bulging out of an unpaired adenosine, on the BPS, which initiates a nucleophilic attack at the intronic 5' splice site, thus starting the first of two transesterification reactions that mediate splicing. The record is from Ensembl. NCBI's taxonomy places the organism in Eukaryota, Metazoa, Chordata, Mammalia, Artiodactyla, Bovidae.